GCCAUUUUUCAAUAUUUCAAUGGAAUGAGAAGAAUGGAGGGAAACAAAUAGUUCCUCAGAAUAAAAUAUGAGGUGGCAGCUCAUGCUGAAAGCGCAGACUACAAUCCUCACCUUUCAGUUGCACUUACUAGUGAAGAUGGAUGUUGAAGGGAAGAAAGCAGAGCUCCUGGCUAGAAGUUCCUCUCGCUGUCAGUGUUUGAGUCUUGUUUCCUUGAAUUUCCAACUUUUGGAUGGCAGAUAGGCCCCCCCAAAGAAGCAUAAGUAGGCGAUAAGACCAAAGGAGGAUGAGAGUGCCCAGGGUAUUUUACAUCUCAGCAUCAAGCGACUUCUGCUUUCAACCGCUACACCCUUCUCUUGAGCCAGUUCCCCUCCCAUUAAACUACCACGUUCCAGGUCCUGCACACCACCUCUAGGAUCAAGGAACACUACUUGUUGGUCAAAGGUAUGUUGCUGCUUCAGUGGAGAGCUGACUACCCAAAAGAGUGUUAAAAAUUGAGCAGAAGUAUGAAGCAUUACCUCUGGAAUGCUUUUUCUAAAAGAGCAGUCAUGUUCAUAAGAAAACACUAAUCUGACCAAGUUUCUCCUUUCAACCACUAAAGAUGGAUAUGCUGACUGUCAAGUAUAUUGGGGUUUAUUCUACUGUUUUGUACAUUUUUAUAAAUUGCAUUUCUUAUAUAAAUACCACACCUAUAUGUUUGAAUACCCAAGUGAAAUUGAUCAGUGUUUACCAAAAUUUAAAUAAAAAUAUCAUUAGAAGUAAAAAAUUGUAAUUGAGAAAUAUCAAUUGAAGCCUUACUCCAUAGCCAUUCUCCAUAGAUCAACUAAGUUUGGAGGUCAGUUUCACUCUCAAUUAGGUAAAUGACAUCAGCAUCGUAUGUAAACUCAUCCAAGCCAUAAAUGAAAGCAUAAAUGUUUUACCACUACUCCAUUCAUGCUAACAAGCAAGUUUCCUUGGAUAAAAAAACAGAAGAGACCUCAAGAAAAAAAAGAAGUAAGCCAAGCCUGCUUCACUCUUCAGUGAUGAACUGGAAAGCAUAACAGA
Fukomys damarensis (Damara mole-rat) is the source of this 1042-nucleotide long non-coding RNA. RefSeq lists it as uncharacterized. The record is from RefSeq and is a predicted model, not a curated record. The transcript is spliced from 3 exons. NCBI's taxonomy places the organism in Eukaryota, Metazoa, Chordata, Mammalia, Rodentia, Bathyergidae.